Molecule: ribosomal RNA, 23 nt
Filed under: Synura petersenii
Lineage: Eukaryota; Synurophyceae; Synurales; Mallomonadaceae
Description: partial 26S ribosomal RNA
Source: RNAcentral
GGACCUCCAAUCAGUCAAGAUUA